RNAcentral lists this ribosomal RNA (467 nucleotides) under uncultured bacterium. Its description in RNAcentral is "partial 16S ribosomal RNA". The stretch from base 20 to 331 matches the Rfam family "Bacterial small subunit ribosomal RNA", at positions 47 to 358 of the family's 1533-position model. The record is from RNAcentral.
GACGAACGCUGGCGGCGUGCUUAACACAUGCAAGUCGAACGGAAAGGCCCUGCUUUUGUGGGGUGCUCGAGUGGCGAACGGGUGAGUAACACGUGAGUAACCUGCCCUUGACUUUGGGAUAACUUCAGGAAACUGGGGCUAAUACCGGAUAGGAGCUCCUGCUGCAUGGUGGGGGUUGGAAAGUUUCGGCGGUUGGGGAUGGACUCGCGGCUUAUCAGCUUGUUGGUGGGGUAGUGGCUUACCAAGGCUUUGACGGGUAGCCGGCCUGGGAGGGUGACCGGCCACAUGGGGGAGGGGAGGGGGCCGGAGCGCAUCCGGGGGAAGGAGGGGGGGAAUGUUGGAGAGGGGGCGGGGGAGGGAAGAAGGACCGCGGGGGGGGGGAGGGGGGCGUUGGGGUUGAAAACGGGUUUGGCGAGGAAAGAGGCGGGGGGAGGGGAACGGGUGAAGAAGGCCCGGCUAAAAACGUG